GACGCAAUUACGUCAGUACCAGGGAGGAAACGCCCAAGAACCACUGCCCCUUCACCAUGCAGUACAGGUCAGAAUGGAAGCAAGUGGAAUAACACAAUUUACUCUGUUACAUAUGGAAUCUGCAUGAAGUUUGAAGCAAAAAGAUGUUUUUAA
Melanotaenia boesemani (Boeseman's rainbowfish) is the source of this 153-nucleotide long non-coding RNA. RefSeq lists it as uncharacterized. The record is from RefSeq and is a predicted model, not a curated record. The transcript has 4 exons. NCBI's taxonomy places the organism in Eukaryota, Metazoa, Chordata, Actinopteri, Atheriniformes, Melanotaeniidae.